UGAGGAAUUUUCCGCAAUGGGCGAAAGCCUGACGGAGCGACGUCGUGUGUGGGAUGAAAUCCUUCGGGAUUUAAACCACUGUCAGAUGGGAAGAUAUUGACGGUACCAUCAGAGGAAGCCCCGGCUAACUACGUGCCAGCAGCCGCGGUAAUACGUAGGGGGCGAGCGUUGUCCGGAAUCAUUGGGCGUAAAGGGCGUGUAGGUGGUCUUUCAAGUCAGAUGUAAAAUCUGCGGGCUCAACCCGUAGCCGCAUCUGAUACUGUCAGACUAGAGAAUGGUAGAGGUAAGCGGAACAGCCAGUGUAGCGGUGAAAUGCGUAGAUAUUGGCUGGAACACCAGUGGCGAAGGCGGCUUACUGGGCUAUUUCUGACACUGAGACGCGAAAGCUAGGGGAGCAAACGGG
This 403-nucleotide ribosomal RNA is filed under the name uncultured bacterium. RNAcentral's name for it is "bacterial SSU rRNA". It matches the Rfam family "Bacterial small subunit ribosomal RNA", at positions 355 to 776 of the family's 1533-position model. The record is from RNAcentral.